This 871-nucleotide ribosomal RNA is filed under the name uncultured Alphaproteobacteria bacterium. Its description in RNAcentral is "bacterial SSU rRNA". It matches the Rfam family "Bacterial small subunit ribosomal RNA", at positions 1 to 919 of the family's 1533-position model. The record is from RNAcentral. Lineage: Bacteria; Pseudomonadati; Pseudomonadota; Alphaproteobacteria.
CGCGGGAUUAGAGUUUGAUCCUGGCUCAGAACGAACGCUGGCGGCACGCCUAACACAUGCAAGUCGAGCGCCCAGCAAUGGGAGCGGCGGACGGGUGAGUAACACGUGGGAACAUGCCUUUCGGUACGGAACAACUGCGGGAAACUGCAGCUAAUGCCGUAUACGCCCUUACGGGGAAAGAUUUAUCGCCGAAAGAUUGGCCCGCGUCUGAUUAGCUAGUUGGUGAGGUAACGGCUCACCAAGGCUUCGAUCAGUAGCUGGUUUGAGAGAACGACCAGCCACAUUGGGACUGAGACACGGCCCAAACUCCUACGGGAGGCAGCAGUGGGGAAUCUUGGACAAUGGGGGAAACCCUGAUCCAGCGAUGCCGCGUGAGUGAUGAAGGCCUUCGGGUUGUAAAACUCUUUCGACGGGGACGAUAAUGACGGUACCCGUAGAAGAAGCUCCGGCUAACUUCGUGCCAGCAGCCGCGGUAAUACGAAGGGGGCUAGCGUUGUUCGGAAUUACUGGGCGUAAAGCGCGCGCAGGCGGCCAUUCAAGUCAGGGGUGAAAGCCCAGAGCUCAACUCUGGAACUGCCUUUGAAACUGUAUGGCUUGAGUACGAGAGAGGUGAGUGGAAUUCCCAGUGUAGAGGUGAAAUUCGUAGAUAUUGGGAAGAACACCGGUGGCGAAGGCGGCUCACUGGCUCGUUACUGACGCUCAGGCGCGACAGCGUGGGGAUCAAACAGGAUUAGAUACCCUGGUAGUCCACGCCGUAAACGAUGAACGCUAGCCGUUGGGCAGCUUGCUGCUCAGUGGCGCAGCUAACGCAUUAAGCGUUCCGCCUGGGGAGUACGGCCGCAAGGUUGAAACUCAAAGGAAUUGACGGGGG